AUACGGAGGGGGCUAGCGUUGUUCGGAUUUACUGGGCGUAAAGCGCGCGUAGGCGGUCCGCGUAGUCAGGCGUGAAAGCCCCGGGCUCAACCUGGGAACUGCGUUUGAUACUGGCGGACUAGAGUUCGAGAGAGGGUAGUGGAAUUCCCAGUGUAGAGGUGAAAUUCGUAGAUAUUGGGAAGAACACCAGUGGCGAAGGCGGCUACCUGGACCGAUACUGACGCUGAGGUGCGAAAGCGUGGGGAGCAAACAGAAUUAGAAACCCCGGUAGUCC
RNAcentral lists this ribosomal RNA (274 nucleotides) under uncultured bacterium. RNAcentral describes it as "partial 16S ribosomal RNA". It matches the Rfam family "Bacterial small subunit ribosomal RNA", at positions 523 to 796 of the family's 1533-position model. The record is from RNAcentral.